UCUGUAGCAGCAGCCAUGCACUGAUUCAAAAUUUAGGACUGAUCCAUGCAGCCUGCUAUAGCAAAAAAAACAUGCGCAAUAAUAAUUAAGAUGCCUUUUUGUCAAGUUGUGUUAUCACCGAACAAACACACUCUCUGGCCCAUCAAAAAUUAAGCUUUAGUCUAAAAGAAAUGGUCUCUUUACUAUGAAAUACAUCCCAAUAUCUCCAUGGAAGUCUAUGUAGGCCUAUUGUUGUGUUGGGAUCGGUGUGUUAUGUUAUUGGCGGUAGGAGAGGUACAUCAAUAAAUAUGAAGAAGUAAGGAUAGACUAUAUUAAGAGUAUUUAUUAUCUCCAAACUUUGGAGACUCGAAUCGGUCACCUCAUUAUGAACUUCCACAUUGUAAAAUACAAGAUGAAGAGAGAGCUAGCUAGAAAGAGGGUCUUGAUCAAAUGGAGAUCAAAACUAAACUCCUCUCUACAAAGCCAGAACAUGUCAUAAUUUAUACAGAAGGAUACAAAAUGGAUAUGAGGGUAGGUUACAUUGUGUCAAAGGAACAAAAACAAGUUCCCUCUCACAGUCAUUUAGCUAACACAUGUAAUCUGUUCUGGGAAAGGGUUUAUGAAACAAAGGGGGUUUUGGUUAUUGGGAGAAAGACAGGAACUCUUUUGUUUUGGAGGUUUGGGGGCUCUUAUCGAGUGUAUACAAUUUGGGGUUUAUUUGGCUAGAAUAAGUUAUUAAACAAAUGUCUUGGAAGGAGGUCUGGUAUUUCGCAGGGUGGGUCUUAUCUGUAUUGGGGCAUAUACUGAGUGAUAUUACAUAUUAUUACCGAGGGGUGUAGACUUGUACUACCAUUACAUAACACUAUAUAAAGGAAUUGGUGUGCACCUAAACUUGGACUACAAUUUAAGAAGGAUACAUCAUUCUGGAUAAUCACCAUUCGUUCAUCAUUUCUUUCCUGGGCCUUGAUAACUGCAUAGAUAAGCUUCACCUGUGGAAUGGAAAAACUGUUGUCCAAGGAGACUGGGUGGCUGUGUUUUAUUCAGGCAGCAGAUUUCCCCCCAUUGGACAAGUUUCGCACCUGGACAAUGUAAAUGGUAUUGCCUCUGUCCGAUUUCUGAAAGGGCGGAGGCUUUCCAAGACAGAUGAUCAGGACGUGGAGAAUCAGUUUAUCAUUUGCACCCUUCGUGUACAGUACGUGCAUGAAAAGGAUGAAUUUUUCACACACCCUCUUAUGAAGGACAAAGUAGAAAUUGCUAAACAAAUGAAUAGUGAAUUUUAUAUGUGACUCCCUUUCCUCAAACCCACAUAAAGUGGCCAGAUAUAUGUGCUAUGAGCCAAAAUGUGUGAAUUAUAGUAGGCUUGUUGCAUUUUGAGGUACGAUGAUUACUAAGGACACAUAUUCCUUGGAUCAAAAAAAAAAAAA
RNAcentral lists this long non-coding RNA (1403 nucleotides) under Strongylocentrotus purpuratus (purple sea urchin). RNAcentral describes it as "uncharacterized LOC115925195". The record is from RNAcentral. Lineage: Eukaryota; Metazoa; Echinodermata; Echinoidea; Camarodonta; Strongylocentrotidae.